ACGCGUCCGAGCACGUUUCUGAUUACUUCCCAUCUGAAACAAGAAAAUUAUAAACUGUGUUUUAGUUCUUUAUACUAAUAACCUCGGAUUCUAUGUAACUGUAAAAUACUGUUGUAACACGUCGUAUUAUAUUAUUUUAUGUCCAAACAGAAAUUAAACUGGCAUACCGUGGAAUCAGAACCUUUGAGGGAAUCAAGAGAGGUCGAGAGCGUUUUUCUAUCUUCGUUUGUUGAAAAGAGAACCAAAAAAAAAAUAGAUUUAAUGAAAUGAUGCGUUCAAAAUCCGGUUAAAUUAUUAAGUCUGAUAGACGGAUCCGCAGGACCUGUUACAGGAUCGAAACCUCCGGAAAAAUCCACCGAUCUGGCAGCCCUCUUUUCUAUUAAGUUUAGGACCGUAAAUUUACCUUUCAUACAUAUAUACACACAUGCACAUGGCUUAAUCGCUGCUUAGCAUAGACAAUAUGGUAAUAACUCUUUGAUUCAAGAGAGUGCUGUCCUAUUUAGUCAAAUAUGUACCAAGCUACAUAAUGGAACUUCUAGCGUGUGAUGAGUUGCGUUGUCCUCAUAGCAUAUAGCUCCCAUACAAACUGCUAGAUCAUAAUCAAGCUCUUGUAAGAACAAUUUGAAGAUGCCUUCACGAAAUUUGGUACUGUUUAUUAUUCAAGGCAACACCAUAAUUCUCAAAUUGUUCGGACCACUUUACAGUAAAACUGACCGAUGAAAAUGUAGCCAACUAAGAAGAACUAACAAAACGUUGUUUGUUGGAUGAAAACCAUUGACCGGUUACCUGAUAACAUUUAAAUAUACAUAUUGCUAAAAGAAAUGCGCAUUCUUGCCGUUUUGUUACCAAGUUAACGUUUUGUGAUGCUCAGUUAACAGAAUUCCUCAAGUUGAAAUAAAUGUGAAAAGCAUUAAAGAUAG
Molecule: long non-coding RNA, 920 nt
Organism: Bactrocera neohumeralis
Lineage: Eukaryota; Metazoa; Arthropoda; Insecta; Diptera; Tephritidae
Exons: 2
Source: RefSeq, a predicted model, not a curated record